This 448-nucleotide ribosomal RNA is filed under the name uncultured bacterium. RNAcentral's name for it is "bacterial SSU rRNA". It matches the Rfam family "Bacterial small subunit ribosomal RNA", at positions 330 to 794 of the family's 1533-position model. The record is from RNAcentral.
ACCAGACUCCUACGGGAGGCAGCAGUGGGGGAUAUUGCACAAUGGGGGGAACCCUGAUGCAGCGACGCCGCGUGGGUGAAGAAGUAUUUCGGUAUGUAAAGCCCUAUCGGCAGGGAAGAAAUUGGACGGUACCUGACUAAGAAGCCCUGGCUAACUACGUGCCAGCAGCCGCGGUAAUACGUAGGGGGCAAGCGUUAUCCGGAUUCACUGGGUGUAAAGGGAGCGUAGGCGGCCAUGCAAGCCUGGAGUGAAAGCCCGGGGCCCAACCCCGGGACUGCUCUGGGAACUGUGCGGCUGGAGUGCGGGAGGGGCAGGCGGAAUUCCUGGUGUAGCGGUGAAAUGCGUAGAUAUUAGGAGGAACACCAGUGGCGAAGGCGGCUUACUGGACUGUAACUGACGUUGAGGCUCGAAAGCGUGGGGAGCAAACAGGAUUAGAUACCCCCGUAAC